This is an RNA transcript of Mirounga angustirostris (Northern elephant seal), 2469 nucleotides long. It is a transcript of the gene named rac GTPase-activating protein 1-like, with no coding region annotated. The transcript has a single exon. The record is from RefSeq and is a predicted model, not a curated record. Lineage: Eukaryota; Metazoa; Chordata; Mammalia; Carnivora; Phocidae.
UUAAUGAAGAAAUUCUAGAAGUGUGCUACUUAAAACUUAGAACAAAUUGGAGGUGCGGAGGGAAGUAAGAGGAAGGCGGCCCAAGCGCGGCCAGGCGGACCCGGCCAGGUGGGCGCUAGAGGCUGCGGGAACAGAUGGAUACGACGAUGCUGAAUUUGCGGAAUCUGUUUGAGCAGCUUGCACGCCGGGGGGAGAUUCUCAGUGAAGGAAAUGAACUCCAAUUCAUCCAGUUGGCAAAGGACUUUGAGGAUUUCCGUAAAAAGUGGCAGAGAACAGACCACGAGCUGGGGAAGUACAAGGAUCUUUUGAUGAAAGCAGAGACUGAGCGUAGUGCUCUGGAUGUUAAACUCAAGCACGCAGCAAUCCGGUGGAUGUCGAGAUCAAACGGAGACCGCGAGCUGAGGCUGACUGCGAAAAGCUGGAAAGACAGAGUCAGCUGAUUCGAGAGAUGCUCAUGUUGACACAUCGGGCAGCAUUCAGCUAAGUGAGGAGCAAAGAUCAGCUCUGGCUUUUCUCAACAGAGGCCAGCCGUCCAGCGGCAAUGCUGGGAACAAAAGAUUGUCGACUAUUGACGAAUCUGGUUCCAUUUUAUCAGAUAUCAGCUUUGACAAGACUGACGAAUCGCUGGAUUGGGAUUCUUCUUUGGUAAAGACUUUCAAACUGAAGAAGAGAGAAAAGAGGCGCUCUAGUAGCCGACAGUUCCUUGAUGGUCCCCCUGGACCUGUAAAGAAGACUCGUUCCAUUGGCUCCACAGUAGACCAGGGGACAUGAAUCCAUAGUUGCAAAAACUACAGUGACUGUUCCCAAUGAUGGCGGGCCCAUCGAAGCUGUGUCCACAAUUGAGACUGUGCCAUACUGGACAAGAAGCCGAAGGAAAACAGGUACUUUGCAACCUUGGAAUAGCGACUCCACCUUGAGCAAUAGGCAGCUGGAGCCAAUAACUGAGACAGACAGUUCCAGCACUCCACAGAGACACAUUAGCUUUCCUCAUGAUUCACUUGCAGAGAGUGGCUCAGAGCCCAAACACUAAAAUGGAUGUGGCCAAUCUGGCUAAAGUCUUUGGGCCUACCAUAGUUGCCCAUGCUGUGCCCAAUCCAGAUCCAGCGGUAAUGUUACAGGACAUCAAGCGUCAGCCCAAGGUGGUAGAACGCCUGCUUUCACUGCCCCUGGAAUACUGGAGUCAGUUCAUGAUGGUGGAACAAGAGAACAUUGACCCCAUGCAUGUCAUUGAAAACUCAAAUGCCUUUUCAACACCACAGACACCAGAUAUUAAAGUGAGUUUACUGGGGCCUGUGACCACUCCUGAGCAUCAGCUUCUCAAGACUCCUUCAUCUAGUUCCCUGUUGCAGAGAGUGCGCUCCACCCUCACCAAGAACACGCCCAGAUUUGGGAGCAAAAGCAAGUCUGCCACCAACCUAGGACGACAAGGCAACUUUUUUGCUUCUCCGAUGCUCAAGUGAAGUCACAUCUCCUAUUACUUGCCCGCAUUCCCUGGCUGCAAGGAAGGGCGCACCUGUAUUCUCUGCUCUGCAGCCUCCUGUACUCAUUACUACUUUUAGCAUUCUCCAGGCUUUUCAUCAAGUUUAAUUGGGCCUGGGGGUUUUAUUAAAACUAUAUAUAUCUCCCUCUCUUUCUCCUCAAGUAAUGUCAUAUCAACACCUUGUGCUGUCGUUGUUGGGAGCUUUUAGAUGGGAGAUCUUUACAGCGGUAGAAGGGAGAAUAUGGAAUUCAUUGUGACUGGGGGCGGGGGGGGGGCUGGGGCGGGCACCUCCCUUUGGCUUAAAGCCAAAUGCUGCUCAUGACUGAUCCCUCUCUGGUGUUAUUCAGAACGAAUUUCCAUGAGACAGUGACAGAAGCUGCACCUCUUUGGUUAAGACUGACUUGUCUCAGGGUGGGAGGUGGGAGGGCAGGGUAAAGAAAGGUUGGACAGAGGAUUUAGGAUGGCUCCUUCUGAGAACUUGGAGGUCCCCUUCCCCCAGUAUGAACUCAGCUGUAACGUGGAGCCUUCAUAAAAAUGGAUAAGGUGAGGACAGAACCAGUGAUGGGGGUGUGCUUAUUAGCUUCAAUUCGGAUUGAUUAGGUGUAAUAGUGUUAAGUGGCACAACCUUGUAAAAGUGAUACUACAACUUGUAUUUAUCUCUAAUGGGCCUCUGGCUGGACUUUGGUUUGCUUGGGGUCAAAGCCAGUUUGUAUUUCAGUUGAAUUCGUUCUGAUGCUUGACCCUCCUGUCCCCUUGUCCAUUGGAGCCCGACUUCUAAAGGUCCUAUGCCGUCUAUUUGGCGUCCCAGUUCACAAUUAAGAGUAGGCUAUAAAGGGACAUUGUCAAUAUUUUGUGUGGCAAGAAAAGCCACAGUCAUUUUGUCUUUGCACUUUGGUUGCUAAAAUCUUCCUAUGGAACAUAGCCACAUCUAGAUAAAUAUGAACUUUUUCUUUUAUUAAAAUUAUUUCCAAUGUCUACAAAAAUGCUUU